AGAGUGAACUAGCUAACUGAAAUCACAGGAUCCAUUACGUGUGGUGAAUGUAAUAACGUAAGGGAAAAAAAAUGAUAUUACCUUACUAUUAGUGUUGUCCAAAACUGGUGCCAGAAGACUCGGUAAGGCCAGAGACGCAAACGUUAGUCGUCCUAAUCAGGCGUAAAGGGUAUGUAGGCUGCUUUAAAAAUAUUAUAUUUAAUAGCUCUGUAUAAAUAAUUUAUUUUUAUUUAAUAAAAAUAUUUCUAUCUUUAAACAGUAAAUAUAAAAUGAAUUAAAGCUAGAAUCAAAUUGAGGAUAAGUCAAAUAAUACUUAGUGUAGGGUUUAAAUCUGGUGAUAUUAGGUGGAGUACUAAAGGUGAAAGCUUUUUAUCUAUAAAUGAUUGACGCUGAGAAACGAAGGUGAGAAAAGAAAAUAGGAUUAGAUACCCAGAUAUCUCUCACAGUCAACGAUGAAUGGUGGUUGUUAGUUUAAUAUGACUGAUAACGAUGUUAACACGAUAACCAUUCCGCCUUGCGAGUACGGUUGCAAAACUGAAACCAAAAAAAUUAGUCGGUCUCGAAGC
Molecule: ribosomal RNA, 566 nt
Filed under: Entoloma lividum
Lineage: Eukaryota; Fungi; Basidiomycota; Agaricomycetes; Agaricales; Entolomataceae
Description: SSU rRNA
Rfam family: Bacterial small subunit ribosomal RNA
Source: RNAcentral